GACGCAGCCGGGACGGUAGCUGCGGUGCGGACCGGAGGAGCCAUCUUGUCUCGUCGCCGGGGAGUCAGGCCCCUAAAUCGAAGAAGCCCUGGCGCGCCCUCCCCCCCUCCCGGGUCUGGUAGGGCGAAGGAACGGGCGUGCGGUCGAUCGAGCGAUCGGUUGGCGGCUCUUUCUCCUGCUCUGGCAUCCAGCUCUUGGGGCGCAGGCCCGGCCGCCGCGGCGCGCGCCCGGUGGCCGUUGGCGCUCGCGCCGCGUCUUUCUUCUCGUACGCAGAACUCGGGCGGCGGCCUAUGCGUUUGCGAUUCGACGAGGAGUCGUCCGGGUGGUCGGCGGCGGCGGGCAGCUGCUCCGCCCCGCUCCGGGGGAGGCGGCGGCGGCAGCGGCCGCGGGAUUUGGAGCGGCCGGGGAGGCGGGGGUGGCCGGGGCCGGCUUGGAGGCCUGGCGCCACCCUUCGGGGCCUGCAAGGACCCAGUUGGGGGGGCAGGAGGGGGCCGGAGGAUGGUUGGUUGUGGGAUUUCUACUUUGCCUUUUCCUCCUUAUGCCGCCUUAGUGAGGGGCGGGAGCUCUGGCGGCAGCCCCGGGGUGGGGAGACGAGCUCCGGAGUCGGAAGAGCUGGGUUUUCUUCCGGGCCUAGCCACCAGUUGGCGGAGUGACCUUAGGCGAGUCACUCUGUAAUUUGUCUGCGCCUCAGUUUCCUCCUCUGCCUAUCAAUGUGUGUGGGGUUGAAAUCGCUUUGUAAACUAUAAAGCGUGGGUGUACGUAAAGGAUGGUUAUUGUUUAUAAUUUUUUUUGAGUUGUAAGAAAACUUAGCAGUUCCCCAAUCCUUGGGUUUUGAACCUGGGAACCUUGGAUUGGAGUUGGGGAUCCCCAAACUUCCUGAAAUUGUGGGAAUGUGCGGUUUGGGGGAAUGAUGGGAAUUUGUGGGAAUGUGCGUUUUAGGGGAAUGAUGAUCCAUCGCUAGCAAGUUUUCCAAGGGGGCUGUGACCCAGAAGAGUUAAGAAUCACAAUUUCUUCAUGCUACAGAGAGGAAACUGAGGCCUAGAUGUCAUUUGGGACCCUUCACAACCAUUUUGAAGCCCUGUUUGAGUCCCUGGGAUAUGUGAGCUGUUUCUAUGCAUAAUGGAUAUUCGGGGUUAACAACAGUCCCCUGCUUGGCUUCUAUUCUGAAUCCUUUUCUUUCACCAUGGGGUGCCUGAAGGGUGGCUGAUGCAUAUGGUACAAUGGCACCCAGUGUAAAGCAGCUACAAUUAGGAGUGGAUGUGUUCUGUAGCAUCCUAUUUAAAUAAGCCUAUUUUAUCCUUUGGCCCGUCAACUCUGUUAUCUGCUGCUUGUACUGGUGCCUGUACUUUUCUGACUCUCAUUGACCAUAUUCCACGACCAUGGUUGUCAUCCAUUACUUGAUCCUACUUUACAUGUCUAGGCUGUGUGGUUGGUGGUGAAUAGGCUUCUUUUUACAUGGUGCUGCCAGCCCAGCUAAUUAAUGGUGCACGUGGACUUUUAGCAAGCGGGCUCACUGGAAGAGACUGAACCUGGCAUGGAAUUCCUGAAGAUGUUUGGGGUUUUUUUCUUUCUUAAUCGAAAGUUAACAUUGUCUGAAAAGUUUUGUUAGAACUACUGCGGAACCUCAAAAUCAGUAGAUUUGGAAGUGAUUCAAAGCUAAACUUUUUCCUUGGCCCUCCUUGUGUUCUAAUUGCUUGCAAGUGUAAUACUAGGAUGUCCAAGAUGCCAGUUUUUGCUUCUUUGUUAGUUGUCAGCUGCUUUUAUCAAAUUUCAGGCCAUUAUCCAACAAACACUAUAAAAAUGUUUGAACAAUUGGAUUUCAAACAUUUUCGUUUUGUGGAGUGGUGCUCACCAAGUGGUACAGCCCUAAGCAAGUGAACACAAACACAUUUAAGUGUAUUUUGUCUGAUUAGAUGUUAGCCAGUUAUGCUAUUUCAUUCAAAUGUCUGAAAAAAUCAAUUGACUAUUCCCUUUUCCUAAAGGGCAGAGACAGAUAAUCUCACUUCCAGAGAAAUGACUUGGAGAAAAAAAAGUGUUGGUCUUUUUGCUCUUUUGUAAUUAAAUCCGGAUGUACCUCAAAAGACUUAAGACUGUGGUGAUAAGAUGCUUUCCUCAGCAGAAAGGAGGGAAAAAAAACAACUGGAACUCAAAGCUUGAAAUUCUGUGGCAAAACAUGAGAUGUCCAGGAUUGGAGGUUGAAAAGAUUUCACUACAGUGUUCUGCAAUAGUUGGAGCAGAUAACUUUCAGUGUAGCCACAGCCAUGGACUCCAGAUUUCCAGAUUUUCAAGACCUGGACCUGGAACCCGAAAGAGCUUGUCACGAUGCGGCAGGAACACUGGAGGUAGAUUUUUUUUUAUUUUUGAAUUUUGGGACUGUUGACCUUGCUGUGAGAAAAGAGACAACGACUGAGCAAGCACUACCACCAGCACUGUUACUGGGAAUUAGAAGACCUGAGUUUCUGUCCAGACCCUCAGUGCAAACUGAGGAUGCUCCAUCCAAAGUGAAUUAUGUCCUGUGCCUCCUGAUUGCUGAGUGUUCACCUGGACCUUCUGACUACCUUCCCUGUGCUAUUCCAUCAGCCUACAGACCUGGUACCUGGAUUUUUGCCCGAGAUGAUUCCUACCACCUUACUACUGACGAAGACACCCAUUCCAGUGGACCACUGUGACCCAGGAGGCAUUCAGCCAUCAUGAUGUGGCCUUUACCUCCACUCCUGUCUUGUUCUACCCAGAUUCAGCACAGCCCUUUAUAGUGAAGUCAGAGUCCUCAAGCCAAAUAGCUAAAGCUGUUUUAUCACAACAAAGGCCUAGUUUGUUCCAUGAGUGUGCAUUUCAUUUCUUCAGUUAAAGCCUUCAGAGACACACAAUAAAUUUGGACCAGGGGAUUUUUUAGUUAUUAAUGCUCUCUGAAGAAAGGCAACAUCUUUUUGAGAGCAGCAUUGGACCACACCCCACAAUCUCAAAUGAUUGAAAUUCAUGAACAUCUAGGAUCCCGUGAAGGUCACUGGACCCUGUUUUUUCUACUUCAAAUCCUGUAGUAGCCUACUGAAUGAGAAAACAUAUUCUGACCCAUUGGGAUCAAAUCAAAGGCACAGUGAACUCCUCAUAGCAUCUUCUUUGGAAUUACUCAGGAACCAGAACUUUUUACACAAAUCAUUUUGUGACCGACUUAUUCUUAGAUCAUUGGUUUUCCAAAGGCUUUGUGGCCAUGAAGCCCUUUGAGUGAAAACUGUGCAGAAGCCCAGAGUAAAAGUGAAGCUGCUCUGGAUGAAGUAGUGAAGCAAGAGUAGGGGCCUGAAUCCUGCUACAACUAUCUUCCUUUACCACCGUGGUGACACCUAAGGGGACUUCCUUACAACACCUUGAACUCUUCCGAACACAGUUUGAAAACCACUGCCCCAGACAGCAAUAUGUUUGACCUGAAUGGCAUUCCAAUCUUUUCUGUACCUCCACUCAGCACAGUUCAUGUUCAGUAGAUGCUGAACAUUCUUAGAAAUACUGUGUGUGAACUUAGAAAAGUGCAAGAAGACAGGCAUGUCUUUGACCCCAGGAAUGAUCAUUUGCUGAAGAUGGUGUCAAGUGAACCUAGAUUAACAGCCCUCCACUCCAGAUGGAUAUCCAGUGAUUCCUAGAAUGGGAUAUAGCCAGAGAACAAUUCUAUGCACCCUACACUGACAGACUCCCUUAAGCAACACCAGAUGCUCUACUGGUACUUGAAGUACAUGACUUUGAAGUCUUGACCCUCCAUGAAUACCUGAAUUAUCAGCAAGCGGGUUUUGAAGCUGGUGCCUCAUUGAGGCCAUAUUAGAGCAACUUGUACAUUUGACCUCUUGUUAUCAGCCAUGGUACUCUACUUCGUGUGCAAGAGAUAACUAUGAAAGCCAAAUUCAAAUACUGGCAACAUUUCCUAAAGGGGCUCAAUAUCUAUCAUUCGUCUUCUUUUCCAAACUACACAUCACUGUAUGACUCAACCAGUAGCAGUUAUAUUGCCCCUUGGUUUUUAUUCAGUUUAACUACUGUUUCCAAGAUAAAUGAGCUAAUAAGCUUUAAAAAAAAAAAAAAAAAAGGCUGAAUUCUUUUUUCUUCAUCACUGGCAUAUCUGCCUAUUCUCCAGAAUUAUUAUGACUAUUCAGCUCACUUUAACAGUUGAACUUCAAGCGACAAUCUUUGAACACCCCUUCUCAUGUGAUUUAAAAUGAAACCAUUUGGAAAAGUUUCUUCUAGCCAGUAAUAGAUUUUUUUUUUAAUUGCUCUGCCUUGUGCCGAGAGAUGUUCUUUUAAGAUGAAUCUUUUGAUGUCUGAUACCACCAAAUAUAGGUGGUAGGGAGAGUUGGAGGCUGGCCCUUUGAGCAGGCCAUUAGCUUACUUGCUGGGCAUUUCCGAUAGCUUAUUGCCUACCUUUUUGCUGGAAACAAACUGAUUUGAAAAACAAAAUCUAUGAAGACUGCAGCUAAGGAUUUUAUCGGUAGACUUAAGAGCUUUUGUCCUUGUGGAUAUUUUAGUGGAACCACAUCAGUCUCAAUACUGUCAUUUUACACUGACUCAGAGCAGCUGACUUCAUUCCUUGCCAUGAUAUAUAUUUAAGGCAGGCAUUGUAACAGACAUAAAGACAACUUAUCUGUUUCAGCAGGAAGGAUUCAGUUUAUGAACUCUCAGACCAGAUCAUGUUGAACAAGGAGACUUUGAUGUGUGUCAUGAGAAAACUCAUUCUUUACUUCCCAGUCAAUUUAAAGGCCAGCUAUCCUGAGCUACUCGAAUGAAUGCACUGGUUAAACAUUGGAAAUAGUUUGUUUAUAUCCUUGUCUCUCUCUAGGCCAAUUGUGAUUACAUGACUCGACUCUACAUCUCGUCAAACAAGGCCUAGGUCUGGUUGCUGUAGACUGCUCGCCCUCAACAAAUAAAAUCUGGUUGACUAGCCUCCUUGUAUAUACAACUAUUAUUUGUUAAGAAGAAAUUAUCGUCAAUUUUCUACUACCUUCCAAUUGUCAGCUCUUUUUUUCCUCUCUGGUUUUUCCUAUACUUUACAGAAAAAGACAUUGAUCUAUACUGCCAUUCCCUCUAAUCCUGCCAUACUCAGUCAAAAGGAAUGACUUAAGAUGAAGAUGAUCAUCUGCUCGAGUCUAAAAUAUACAUUGUAUAUAAGAAUUGGUGAUUAGAAAAGCAAAAAACCUAAAACUUAAAUCUAGGAGUCUGUAUACUGUCUCCAUGUCUCCAUGCCUCAGAUCUCAUCUAAAUCUUUGAACAGCACCAUUCAACCAAUCUGAGGCCUUGACUUGCUUGUAAGAUGAUUCUCAGAGAUCGGCUGAGUUAAAAAAGAUGACGACUUGAUUACCAAAGAAAGUAGGGCCAACUUUGACAAAUCUGGCUCUGCUGACCCUGUCACUCCCAGAUGUAGCAUAGACUCCUAAACAGAACCUCAAGUCUGAUUGAGGAUAAGGCCUUCUCCUGAGCUGAAAGUUCUUUGGCAGAUGAGCAAGAAACUGAAAGCUGAUGUACCUGACUGGCUCUGUAAGAUCAGAAAACUGUAUCCAGAAUAAGCCCUAUGGAUUAACCCCUGAGUACCCAGAGUAAAAACUAAUUUACAGAACUUCCUUAUUGAUCUGCUGGUUCUUCCAGAUCAUAUUCUGGCUAUUGGUAUGGCUGGCCUUUCUGAAGGUACCCUGCUUGUCUAUUUUCCUGACUCAGCUCUUGCCUGCCUUUUUCACAUGUUGCUGCAAUUAGACUCACCGUGAGGACUACAGUCAAUUUCAGUCUAUCUUGUGCCCAAUACAACAAGGAUUUUUAAUAGUAACAACCCACACCUCACCCACUAGGACUCAAUGUUCACAACAGGAAGGACCAUUGCUGCAUACUCCUUGACCAGCAACUUUUUUGAAGAUAUUUUUAAGUGCAGAGUAGGCCUCUAUUCCUGUAUGUAAUUGUUCAUUUUCAGCACCUGGAACCUCAUCUAUCGGGUCUGGAAGGAAUACAGCAGUUCGAAAGCCGCGUCCAUUUCUCUCCUUCAGUAGUGCAGAAAUGAGUCCGAUUCACCAGUACACACAGAACUGUACCAGUUCAACCUAGCAAAAGAAGAAAAGUUUCCACUGUACUUAAAAUUUACAGCUGACUCAAAUUGCCUCACAGAAUUAUUUGAUGUAGAAGGCUAGUUGUCUUACUUCAGAUCAGCAGGACAGUUGGGCUCUCAGACUCAUGACCACUGAGUUUGCUUGUGUUGAAACUGUGGUUUCAUCCAACAUAUGCUAUUGGACAUGAUUAUUAUUCCAUUCAAAUGGAUUACAGACUUCUUGAGGACAGGACAAACUUAUCUCUCAUGGUGUUUUUUUAGAAUACUUUUAUAACCAAGGAAGAAACCAUGCCAGCUGUUACCAUUCAACUUCUUAAGCAGAGAUUAAGCUUUUUCAUAUCUGUUCUUAUCCUGGACAUCAGUAGUUUUUAAUUGCCCAGCAUCCGUUCCAUCUUGUAACAACUCCCUGAUGUUUCUUAAAACCACCUCUUCCUAUUUUCAGUCUGUGGUUUGGACAGUCUGACCCAACCUUGAGCUUUGUGGGUGAACAUGUAAUUCAGACCUCAUCAAUCAGCAAAUCCAUCUGAACUGUGGAGGAGAAGCUCUCUUUACUGAGGGUGCUUUAGCUUUGUAGGAUGAAAACCUCAAACUAACAGGGCCUACCAUGUAGAGAAUGAAGCCAGUGCAGGGGAAAGCAGAGCCAAAAUAUGGAGAGACUUGAAUCCUGAUGACAGCGUUUGUGCCCCUGGAUCCAACCGUGCCUGAAGCUAGAAUAUCCCCUGGACUUUUCAGUUAUGUGAACCAAUAAAUACCCUUUUUUGCUUAAGUUACUUUGAGUUGGGUUUCUGUUACUUGAAAUUGAAUCCACACUAAUAUAUCUACCAACAUUGAGACUUGACAGAUCCAAGUAUUUAUUAAGCUAGAGGUCAUGGUCACUGAAAUUACUUUCCAAAGUGGAAGACAAAAUGAAACAGGAACUGAGGGAAUAUUUAAGAUCCCACAGAAGCGUAAAAAUGACAUGGUAGAAAGUAAUAGAAAACCUAAAUGUCUGUCAUUAAAGGAUAGGUUAAGGUGUGGUUCAGCCAUAUAGGAAUAUCUCGUAUCUGUUAAAAUGAAUAAAGUACAUUCAUUGUGUAUGGAAAAAUGGCCAUGAUACAUUAGGUGAAACAAGUUAUUAAUAGAAAAGUGUACAGUGUGAACUCAUUUUAAAAUGUGUGUGCUUAUGUUUAUAAAUGCAUAGAAAGGUCUAUUCACAGCUUUCUUUGAACAGUGUAGAUCACAUGAAACUUUCAACUUUAUACAUUUCUGUAUUAAUAUUUUACACUACCCACAUUAUUUUUAAACUUUAUUUUAAAUAAAGAAUUUUUAAAAUUAAAUUUAGUGCUUACUGUUUGACCUUGGCAAGUUAUUCAACACUGAGCCUGUUUUAUC
Molecule: long non-coding RNA, 7435 nt
Filed under: Homo sapiens (human)
Lineage: Eukaryota; Metazoa; Chordata; Mammalia; Primates; Hominidae
Description: non-protein coding TUG1:44
Rfam family: Taurine upregulated gene 1 conserved region 3 (bases 2514-2750)
Source: RNAcentral